Molecule: long non-coding RNA, 1328 nt
Organism: Cottoperca gobio
Lineage: Eukaryota; Metazoa; Chordata; Actinopteri; Perciformes; Bovichtidae
Source: Ensembl
GAGCACCGUCUGCUGUGAUGUUUCAGACAUUAUCAAGCUGAUUAAGUCCCAUUCAAAUGUUUCUUUAUCACCGAUUUGUUUUAUUUUUUUACACUCUCCAGGUCCCUGUGUCCCUCCCCCUCCUCGAUCCCCCUGUGUGCGAGUCCCUCAUCUCAGCUUUGGUUGCUGUGCAGAUGGCUCUUUGUUGGUGCUUCACAAUGGGUCUAAGGACUUGCCUGUAAACCAGAGAAAGCCAGCCAGACCAUGCUGGACACUGCUGUUCAAAACAAAAGAGCUCAGUUUGCCCCCACCAAUUCCUCCAAUUAUCGGGACCCUUCCCCCGCCUAAUCCUGACCUCUGCUCUGUGGGCCCCACUUUGCUACCCCUGAGUACUGACAUUCCACAAAUCAGGUCAGUCCUUUGUCCUGAGGAAAUUAAGGUGAAAUUAAGGUGCUUUACUUCCUAUCCUAUAUCCUCUGACCCGUUAGCAGGGCGGAGAACAGUUUAACAUUUAAUGUUUCCCCAGGCAAUGAACUAAUGCAAAAGAUUUGAUUAACUUUCAAAAGUGUGUCAUUGUUAAUACAAAAAGGCUUUUCUUUCAUACAGUAUUGCUUUCCGUGUUCCCAUAACUUUGAAUAGCAUAAAAAAAAGGUUUUCCAGUUCCUACUUGUGGAAAGUGUGGCAAACACAUUACAGUUGUUGGCAAUUAAGAGGUUUGCAAAAAUCACCACAUAAAGUGCGUCUCUUUUCCAACUUGCUCUUUUGCUGCAACAGUUUGGUUCACUUCUUUACCUGCAGACUAAAACAGGCUGCCCAUAGAUGGAUUUUUUUCCUUUGUAACAGAUUGGUGGCACAUGGAAACAUGUUGAGGUAGGCAAAUAGGAAAAAAAAAAAAGACAGGAAAUGAUCUCACAAACACUCCCCCUCUCUCUGAUUGCUCCAAUUUUCCAGUUACAGAAAAAGAGUGAGUAAUGCCUUCUGCUGCUUUUUAGUCUGCUCCUCUGUUCCACCCGUGGGUCUACUGAAGACCAUUACAUUGUGGAUGUCUGCUUCAAUGCUCUGCAGUCUCCACAUGCUCUUCAUUUCCUAUGUAAAAGGGUAUAACACUUUAUGCAAUGCCAAGAUGACGUGAUGUGAUAUCUUUCAUUGUCACUUUGUCUAUUAAUGUUCAACCAAACACUAUAAAACCAAUGCUGUGUCAUUGUGAUUAUCUUUUGUUCAUUGUUCGUGAUUGUCUUUCACAUGAUAUCGCGAUAUUUUAAUAUAUCCUUGUGGUAGAAGUAUACUCAGCAUAAAUUAAAAAAAACAUCCUUAUAUGAGACAGAAAAUAAAUCUCAAAGUAACCAGCU